GGUUUAUUAGUAUAAUGAGUAUUUUUGAUUUCCAAUCAAAGGGUAAUUAAACUA
This 54-nucleotide transfer RNA is filed under the name Strongyloides stercoralis. Its description in RNAcentral is "tRNA-Gly". The record is from RNAcentral. Lineage: Eukaryota; Metazoa; Nematoda; Chromadorea; Rhabditida; Strongyloididae.